This is an RNA transcript of Bombyx mori (domestic silkworm), 556 nucleotides long. RefSeq lists it as uncharacterized. Lineage: Eukaryota; Metazoa; Arthropoda; Insecta; Lepidoptera; Bombycidae. The transcript is spliced from 2 exons. The record is from RefSeq and is a predicted model, not a curated record.
GGUCGCGCGAUGCCUCAAUGCGUCCACCGACACCGCCGCGCGCGCCGCUCUGAGCUGUGGCCGCCUCCAUAUUGUCUAGUACAUUUGUUUCACUCGCACAUGGCGCAGCUCGCCGCCGCCAGAUGUCACGCACCUCUCACCGCACCUCGCAACGCACCGCAAAACGCACCGCCAGUAGCUGUGGCAUACUUCAUAGGUUGUCUACCAUUUGUUUUCGCCGCUCCCGCUUGCCGCGCCUCACGACGCACCGCUCUCGGCUGUGGCCAAGGGGUAAGUGUCGUACUGGUGCGGCCCGUACAGAUAUUUCAUACCGGCCACUAGUGACGUCCGCUGCGUCUUCUCGAUAUUUUCAAUGAAUUUCGUUUUCCGCUUCGGCUACGACGGAGUCACGUACAAAAGCUCGGACCUGUCUUUCAUGUACCAAAACGGCCAAGUGUUCUACACGGACGAGCCCUGGGCCGGGAUGUCGUGCUGGAACUGGGCCUGCAAGUGGCGGCACAACCAGAACAUGCGCUCCAAUGAGUUUUUUGUUAAUUAAAUAAAAUAUGAAAUUAUU